This is a long non-coding RNA of Uranotaenia lowii, 383 nucleotides long. RefSeq lists it as uncharacterized. The transcript is spliced from 3 exons. Lineage: Eukaryota; Metazoa; Arthropoda; Insecta; Diptera; Culicidae. The record is from RefSeq and is a predicted model, not a curated record.
GGUCGGCGAGAAGCUUUUCCGACAACUAGUUAGACCUAUUUAUUUUCUCCGGAAUCUGCCGCGCAACCACCUGACAGCACCGAAAUCACAAAACGUACCCGGCGUAGGAAAGUUUCGACAUCUUUGAGAGGACAACGACAGUGGACUCUUAGGGCAAUCAUUCAUCCAACUAAUUGGAAGCAGUAACUGUAUACCGACUGUUCCGGUCCUUCAACUAUGCGGUUGCAAUCGCUUCCGGUCCGAUCCAAGACCGAAAAAAUCGCCGAAACCAUUCAUCAAUUGUUCGGAUGGAACUGUCGGCCAAUAAACAUCGUCCAAUGAACCGGUUCAAGAACUCUUAUCGUGGAAAAUCGAUAAUCUAAUUGAUUAACAUGUACUUCAAG